ACACACACACACACAGUCUCUAUUUUAACAGUUCUAGUAGGUUUUUUCAAAGAGCAUUCCUGGCCUGUGUAUGUGAGCCUGCUCUGUGGAAUUUCAAUUUUCAUCUUCAGAAUCCUUCCUUGGCAGAACUCUUGUUUUUAGGGACUUGGGAAAUGUAAUGGAGCGGCUUGCAUACAUGAUUCCCAGCUCUUAUUGAGGUCUCCUUUUGUCUGUCUGUCUCUCAUUCACCCUCCUCUUAAGACACAAGGAUGAAGGUAGGAGAAGCACUCUUGGUAACAACUAUAUUGAUUUUAUGACCUAAACAUAAUGGUGCACAGCUUCUGGAUCUCAGUAGAUUUCUGGCUUAGGAAUCUUAGACUUCUUAUCUUAGACUUCCUCCUUUCAUCCUUUUCCUGUUCUGCAACUCCUUCUCUCACGUACACUGCCUUUAAUUUUAUGUGAAAAUUUGCUUAUUCUGCUUGUAGAUGAAAUUGUUUUAAUAGCAGUGUAGAAAAUAUAUAGUCAUGUCAUGUUGAAUUUUGGGUUGGUUGGCUUCUUUUGGAGCAUUCUGUAGUAAAGUUUAAAAARUAACCAGCAACAAAGCACUCUCCAAAAUAAUUUWWAAAAAAACAAAGGAAAAACACAAACAAACAAUCCAGAAUUGUGUAAUUCAUGUAAGGUUUUGUAUUCAUGUUUUGUAUGGGUGGGUGGAAGUACCUGCAGGUUUUCUUACAUAUGUAUUUACUGUGGAAAAUAGCAUAAUAGUUCAGCAAAGUUUUCAUUUCAUGGUGUGUAUAGUUUAAUUUUAGAGGGAUUUAGUUAUGCAACAGGAAAAAAACCUUCUAUACUUAAGCUAGAACCUGAAAGCAACCAGGCAAUUUAAAGAAUAGUAUCAGUUACACUUGGAGUUUCAAAUUAAGAAUUUGGCCUAAAUGUAAAAAUGAGAAAUGCACUUCCAAAGGUAUUAAAUGUGGCAGCUGUCUCAUUGAAAUAAUAUUCAUUUGGUCUUUUAAGGUAAAUCUAUAAUUACAAAGCAGUACUUUCUCUUGCUAGAGAAUAUUUUUUAUAUACUUUUUCCAGAAAAGUUAAUCUCCUGCUGCUGGCCAGCGUUUUUACUCAAAUCUAUCUUUAUCUUUGCCUUCCACUUUAUAUGUGUGUGUGUAUAUAUAUAUAUGGUGGAGAUUUUAUCUUUACCUUUUCCUCUCUUGGCUUAUGCCUAGCAGAGUUUCUUCAUGGGGGAAGAUGAACUGUCAGAGCAUACCUUCACUGUUUAGGUUUAUUUUGACUUUAAUUCACCAUGAUAGCCCUGUUAAUUUCCAGAAGUUAUCAUGACCUGACUAGAAGGCUUAUUGCAAUGGAGUGGAGUGCUUGGGUCCAUGCUGUGAGAAUCUUUCAUUGAGAUUAUUGAAAUUGCUGCAGUGAGAAUGGAAAUCACUUGGGCUCCUUUCGUUUUAAAAGCUGGAUGCAAGAACUGUGUGGAUUGGCCUGGUGUGGUGCUGGACCGUGGAAGAUAUUUGUGGACUGUGCAAGAAAGAAGGCUGAUGUUCCUAUAGGUGCUGCAGAAAUUAGUAAAAAAAAUCUGUAGGCAAUGGAACWAAUGGCUGCAAGUAGAGGAAAAGAAGUCUUCAUGGUUAUGUCAAGUGAGAAUUCCUAAGAAUUGGAUGAGAUAUUUAUUUUUCUGCCUUUAUUCUUGCAUGAUGCUGGACAAGUUAGCAGGCCAUUGCUUCUGUAGUGCUUAUAUUGUGCUUUACUUUAGAGGUGUCUGAUUUAAAAUUCUCAUGUCUGAAAGAAACACUGGUGGUUCACAUUGGUAGCUGAGGUUCUUAGGAGUUGUUAUUUGAAUUAAAAUAAUCUGUAAAGUUACACCUGCUGACAGUCUCCUGCCUUCUUAAAGGGUACCUCAAACUAUUCUAUACUAUGAUAGUUUCUACACCUCCAUGUCACAUUUAAAAUAGGGGUAAUAGACACAUACCUUGAAAGGCUGUUCGCUACCUUUGUUGAGUACCUGUACUACAGUAAUGCAUUUUAUUGUGGAAUUUUCUAUGGCAUUUAUUAAUUCUGAUUUUGGAGGAAGCAGUGAGUACUGUGCAUCUUGUAAAGACCACAUCUACACUCAACUUUCCUUGUUACCAGCUCAGGCUGAGAAGCAGAGUUUCCAUGCUGUUUAUUCASGGUGUAUUUCUGCAGUCCUGUCAACUCCAAAAUACUCUGAUUUGUGUCCUGUCUUGUCACUGUGGACUGUGACACUAUCACACUGAUGUAUUCUGCAAAUAUAAUUGUUAUUAUCAUUAAACGCUUGUGUGUGCUGUUUUUUGAAUGUCGUUUUCGUAAGUAAUAUCUUCAACAUUUUGCAAAAUCUUCUGUACGCUAAGGGUAAUGUACACGUUUGAACUUCAGCAUAUUUGACAAUAAAUUUACCUGAGAAGAUCUAUUUUCCAGAAAGAACAAUCUAGUUAAAUUGUAACAACUGCUUAAUGUACAGUGAUAAGCACUGCAUCUUUAAAAAUGUGARGUGACUUAUGUAUUUGGGACUUCUACAGCUAUUUUCUUCACAUUUCAAAGGCAGUUUUCUUGUUACUGUAURAGGCAUGUUUUGCUAAGUGAGAGUGGUAUGCACUGGAAAGUUAGAGAUCUGAAUAUGUUUCAGCUUUUCCCUUAGUCAUGGUAUCUUGUUAAAUAUGAGGGAAGUCUCUUCUAAUCAGGUAGCAGUACUAGCAGUAAUGAUUGAAAUUUGAGGUAUUUAUACUCCCUUUAUAUUCAUCACAACCUACUGUCAGAGAAGUCACAAGAAAUUAUAGAAAUAUAUCYAAAGUGGUGAGCUGCUAUUUUUCCUGUUUAACAGCAGCAGCAAUUCUUCAUGUAAAAACUAAAUUUUUUAAAUGUACUUGAAGAGAAACUGAUGUCUGAGAUAUAAGUGAAUCUCCUUUCUAAGAUGGCAGUUCUAACUGUGUAUCAGAAUAAAAUAUUAAACUAUAAAGAGAAAUAAGAAAAAAAAUGGGAAAAAAAUGCAAUGGCAUGAGUGACUUUGCUCAUCUUUCUGUGAGUGGGAUAAUAAUAAUUGGAGUUCUACUUUUUUACUCUAAAUAGUUUAUUUCUGUUAGAAGUUUUUUAGUGGUCAUCAGUUAAUUCUCUUAUUUUUUCCACAUUUUAUUCACUUAAAAUAGCUCUGUAUUUGUUA
Molecule: long non-coding RNA, 3157 nt
Organism: Malurus melanocephalus (red-backed fairy wren)
Lineage: Eukaryota; Metazoa; Chordata; Aves; Passeriformes; Maluridae
Exons: 4
Source: RefSeq, a predicted model, not a curated record